RNAcentral lists this ribosomal RNA (274 nucleotides) under uncultured bacterium. Its description in RNAcentral is "partial 16S ribosomal RNA". It matches the Rfam family "Bacterial small subunit ribosomal RNA", at positions 523 to 796 of the family's 1533-position model. The record is from RNAcentral.
AGACGGAGGGCACAAACGUUGUUCGGAAUCACUGGGCAUAAAGAGCACGUAGGCGGCCCGCUAAGUCUAAUGUGAAAUCCCUCGGCUCAACCGGGGAACUGCAUUAGAUACUGGCGGGCUCGAGGAUGGCAGGGGUAAGUGGAACUCCAGGUGGAACGGUGAAAUGUGUAGAUAUCUGGAGGAACACCGGUGGCGAAAGCGGCUUACUGGGCCAUCUCUGACGCUGAGGUGCGAAAGCUAGGGUAGCAAACGGGAUUAGAAACCCCAGUAGUCC